This 82-nucleotide transfer RNA is filed under the name Mytilinidion resinicola. It matches the Rfam family "tRNA". Rfam says of the family: Transfer RNA (tRNA) molecules are approximately 80 nucleotides in length. Lineage: Eukaryota; Fungi; Ascomycota; Dothideomycetes; Mytilinidiales; Mytilinidiaceae. The record is from Rfam by way of RNAcentral.
GGUCCUAUGGUGUAAUGGUUAGCACGUCGGAUUCUGACCCUCCUGAUUUCCGGAGAUCCCGGUUCGAUUCCGGGUAGGACCU